This 456-nucleotide ribosomal RNA is filed under the name uncultured bacterium. RNAcentral's name for it is "bacterial SSU rRNA". It matches the Rfam family "Bacterial small subunit ribosomal RNA", at positions 60 to 509 of the family's 1533-position model. The record is from RNAcentral.
AGUCGAGCGGGGUGAGGUGCUUCGGUACUGAUCCUAGCGGCGGACGGGUGAGUAUUGCUUAGGAAUCUGCCUAUUAGUGGGGGACAACAUUCCGAAAGGAAUGCUAAUACCGCAUACGUCCUACGGGAGAAAGCAGGGGAUCUUCGGACUUUGCGCUAAUAGAUGAGCCUAAGUCGGAUUAGCUAGUUGGUGGGGUAAAGGCCUACCAAGGCGACGAUCUGUAGCGGGUCUGAGAGGAUGAUCCGCCACACUGGGACUGAGACACGGCCCAGACUCCUACGGGAGGCAGCAGUGGGGAAUAUUGGACCAUGGGCGGAAGCCUGAUCAAGCCAUGCCGCGUGUGUGAAGAACGCUUUUUGGUUGUAAUGCACUUUAAGCGAGGAGGAGGCUACCUAGAUUACUACUCUGGGAUAGGGGACGUUCCUCGCAAAAUAAGUAUCCGGCUAACUCUGUGCC